GCAGAUUUCGGCCAAUAGCCUGCGGUUUUGUAAACCGAAGGUCGCGGGUUCGAAUCCUGCAACCGGCACCA
Molecule: transfer RNA, 71 nt
Filed under: Sphingomonas kaistensis
Lineage: Bacteria; Pseudomonadati; Pseudomonadota; Alphaproteobacteria; Sphingomonadales; Sphingomonadaceae
Description: tRNA-Thr
Rfam family: tRNA
About the family: Transfer RNA (tRNA) molecules are approximately 80 nucleotides in length.
Source: RNAcentral